AUGCAAGGUCAGGUGUGCAUGGCCACAUGUGCAGGGGCUGCAGAGUGCCCAGCUGCCCCAGUGCUCAGCUCUUGUGCCCACCAGGUGCUUGGGCAGCUCCCAAAUCUGCCUGUGGCUCUCCAGAGGCUGAUCCCCAGCCCACAGCACUGCUCACAACAUCCCUCAAUGUCCCUGCUUCCCACCUCCCAACUCGUUUUGAAGCCCUAUCCCAGCAGCAGUAGAUGCAACACAGAGAAAGAUAAAAAAUCCUGGUCUGAGAUGCAGAAUCCUCCUUUAGCUGAGUGUCUCUCUCAUGUACAAACUCACCCACAGUGCUGGGCAAGGAUUUCAACCAAGUAUUUUUGUCCCAGCUGGCUGGAUUUUAUGUAUGCCUCUUUUAGCCUGUUCCUUCCUCAAGAUUAAAAUAAAAACAACAACAAAAGUAAAAAUAAAGUACA
Junco hyemalis (dark-eyed junco) is the source of this 437-nucleotide long non-coding RNA. Lineage: Eukaryota; Metazoa; Chordata; Aves; Passeriformes; Passerellidae. The record is from Ensembl.